UGGGGUAUACUCAAAAUUAGGUAAAUUCAACUUAAAUUUGAGUAUAAAAAACCUAUCAAUGAGUUGUAAUUUUUGCCGUGGUUAAGCUAAGUAUGCACCUCUUGCGAAAUGAAAUUUCCUAUACAAAACCUAUGCAUAAAAAACGUCGCGAAAUGCUCGCGAAAAAAAUUUUCGUUUCCAUUUCGUAAGCGGUACGCAGCUCUCGCGAAAACGAUAACGAAAAAAGCAGUUAGCCGAGACACGGUUCGACAAACGAUAAGUUUCAUAAUACUUCCGCGAGAUAGCGCUGCUUUCUAUGCGCUGUCACCAAGGCAAACUUUUUCCUUGCGAAAUAAUGGUCAAUGGUAUUAUUUCGCACGGAGGCUCGCGAAAUUUUGACAGGUUGCAUUGAAAAAAUAUAAAAAAACAAAAGAUUAGUAAUUUUUUGUAUUUUUUUUCAUCGCGACCUGUCAAAAUUUCGUAGUUUUGAGAAUCAAUAUUUUGAAUUUGAAUGGUAAGUUUUAAAAUAUUAUUGGAAUUGUGAUUGUUUCUAGUAAUUAUUAUUUACAGCACACCCGAACAAAGCAGCCACAAGAGCAGCAUUUUUCGUCACCAGCCAUCUAUCUACUUGAUAAGUUUUCAACAACAACAACCAGGUGCUACAAAUCAGCUCAACUUGACUCAACAUCCUGGAUCUGGCAAUCAGCCAACCAACAUUAAAUCGAUACAACCGUAGCAGUACCAACAACUCCAAAUCCAGCAGCUGCCAACAAUCUCUCAAAAAAGAACCACAGCAAUUACAGCUCAGAACCAACAAAGCAACAAGAGCUUUUUUACGAAUAAUGGACCCAUCGGAAACACUUUAUCGGCACAUUCUGUCGUAAAACUUGCCUGCCACUAUUCUUACCAGCGGUUACCUUCCUGAUGUAGAGAAAUCAGAGUCAAACACAAACGUCAUAUUACUGCCUUGGCUCCUACCAGUUGCUUGCAUGAAAAUAUCGCUGCCUCCACAGUGCUCGUGAUUUCAUCCCAGCAGCAGCUAGCAACCACAAUUCCAGUGCUUAUCGCCAGCAACAUCAGAAAAUUAAGAUUUCCCCCAGACCAUGACCAUCAUCCGACAGAUCGGUAGCAACGUUCAACUGACGGUACAACCUGGCCAGCAACCGCAAGUAGUGCAAUCGAUCCAAGCCAAUCAGGGCCAAAUGUAGAAGACCAUUGGUCAACUGCAAAAAAAAAGAUACAUCAACAGCACCUUCAAACACAGUAGCAGCAGCAUACUGUACUGUACCACGCCGCGUGCAGGACUUUUUUUUAUUCAGUUGGUGCAGCAAGAUCGAACAGCAACCAUAGCGGAUACACAUCACCGAACACCAGCAACAUAAUGCCAUGGUAACCACCCAGCAGCAGAACACGGCGAUAAUGGGCCAACAGUAAAUACAACAUCAAGAUCCUCGGAAAGGACUUUCUCUUUCGAACAAACAUAAUGGAAGCAUACUCUACACGCGCGACAUAUUCAAUCGGGCCAACCGUGUGACUCGUUUGGCAAAAAGGGCUCAUCAUCGGUUUCAUGGCAGCGAAGUGAGCAGACAAAAGAAGGCGUUUUUUUUUCCGAAUGGUCGCUCUGGGCAAAAGUUCAGCUAAUUGCAAGGAACAAACCACCGGAGUGACAGUAUCCGUGCUGAUUCAGGACCUUUUUCCAUAUAUUGUAGCUUUUGAAUUUUAAUACCCGGUCGAAACGAUGGCAAGUGCUGCCGAUAACUGGGUCAAAAAGGCGGAAGGAGGA
Topomyia yanbarensis is the source of this 1762-nucleotide long non-coding RNA. RefSeq lists it as uncharacterized. NCBI's taxonomy places the organism in Eukaryota, Metazoa, Arthropoda, Insecta, Diptera, Culicidae. The transcript is spliced from 3 exons. The record is from RefSeq and is a predicted model, not a curated record.